RNAcentral lists this long non-coding RNA (202 nucleotides) under Elaeis guineensis (African oil palm). Its description in RNAcentral is "long non-coding RNA (EGUI_LNC067168)". Lineage: Eukaryota; Viridiplantae; Streptophyta; Magnoliopsida; Arecales; Arecaceae. The record is from RNAcentral.
AUUAUUAUUCUCCAUAAAAGACUUGAAAAAAGUAUCCUUCAUCCUAGGGAUGAAGAUCUAUAGAGAUAGAUCUAAAAGGAUACCUGUAUUAUCCCAAUCCAAUGUACAUAGAAUAUUUAUGAGUAGAAUUUAUUCUAUCACGUACACCAUGUACGAGAUCAGAUAUGGUAUACCUACUAGGGAUAGUGAGUGGAUACCUGCA